RNAcentral lists this ribosomal RNA (253 nucleotides) under uncultured bacterium. RNAcentral's name for it is "partial 16S ribosomal RNA". It matches the Rfam family "Bacterial small subunit ribosomal RNA", at positions 524 to 776 of the family's 1533-position model. The record is from RNAcentral.
UACGGGGGGGGCAAGCGUUGUUCGGAAUUACUGGGCGUAAAGGGCUCGUAGGCGGCCAACUAAGUCAGACGUGAAAUCCCUCGGCUUAACCGGGGAACUGCGUCUGAUACUGGAUGGCUUGAGGUUGGGAGAGGGAUGCGGAAUUCCAGGUGUAGCGGUGAAAUGCGUAGAUAUCUGGAGGAAUACCGAUGGCGAAGGCAGCCUCCUGGGCCAACACUGACGCUCAUGCACGAAAGCGUGGGGAGCAAACAGG